RNAcentral lists this ribosomal RNA (744 nucleotides) under Agaricus sp. RNAcentral describes it as "eukaryotic LSU rRNA". It matches the Rfam family "Eukaryotic large subunit ribosomal RNA", at positions 172 to 905 of the family's 3401-position model. Lineage: Eukaryota; Fungi; Basidiomycota; Agaricomycetes; Agaricales; Agaricaceae. The record is from RNAcentral.
GGACCGUGUAUAAGUCUCCUGGGAUGGGGCGUCAUAGAGGGUGAGAAUCCCGUCUUUGACACGGACUACCAGUGCAYUGUGGUAUGCUCUCAAAGAGUCGAGUUGUUUGGGAAUGCAGCUCAAAAUGGGUGGUAAAUUCCAUCUAAAGCUAAAUAUUGGCGAGAGACCGAUAGCGAACAAGUACCGUGAGGGAAAGAUGAAAAGAACUUUGGAAAGAGAGUUAAACAGUACGUGAAAUUGCUGAAAGGGAAACGCUUGAAGUCAGUCACGUUGGCCGGGAAUCAGCCUUGCUUUUGCAUGGUGUACUUUCUGGUUGACGGGUCAGCAUCAAUUUUGACCACUGGAAAAAGUCCUGGGGAAUGUGGCAGCUCCGGCUGUGUUAUAGCCCCUAGUCGCAUACAGUGGUUGGGAUUGAGGAACUCAGCACGCCGCAAGGCCGGGUUUCGACCACGUUCGUGCUUAGGAUGCUGGCAUAAUGGCUUUAAGCGACCCGUCUUGAAACACGGACCAAGGAGUCUAACAUGCCUGCGAGUAUUUGGGUGGAAAACCCAAGUGCGCAAUGAAAGUGAAAGUUGAGAUCCCUGUCGUGGGGAGCAUCGAUGCCCGGACCAGAACUUUUGGGACGGAUCCGCGGUGGAGCAUGUAUGUUGGGACCCGAAAGAUGGUGAACUAUGCCUGAAUAGGGUGAAGCCAGAGGAAACUCUGGUGGAGGCUCGUAGCGAUUCUGACGUGCAAAUCGAUCGU